This 68-nucleotide transfer RNA is filed under the name Marmota marmota marmota (Alpine marmot). It matches the Rfam family "tRNA". From Rfam's summary of the family: Transfer RNA (tRNA) molecules are approximately 80 nucleotides in length. Lineage: Eukaryota; Metazoa; Chordata; Mammalia; Rodentia; Sciuridae. RNAcentral also lists the same sequence under 1 other name. The record is from Rfam by way of RNAcentral.
GUUGUGGCUCAGUGGUAGAGCGCUUGCCUAGCACGCGUGAAGCACUGGGUUUGAUCCCCAGUACAACA